UAUUGUUGAUGAUGCUGCAUAUGAAGAGCUUCCUGCAGGGGAGUAGAUAUGUCCUGAGAGGCAUGCCAAUAUAAUUUCAAGAACAUUCUUUGGUUGGAUGAAUCCCCUUAUGCAGCGUGCAUAUCAAAGACCAAUAACAGAGAAGGAAGUGUGGAAGUUAGAUACUUGGGAUAGAACAGAAACACUGAAUGCUAAGUUCCAAGAAUGUUGGGUUAAAGAAUCUCAGAAGCCAACGCCAUGGCUGUUAAAAGCAUUAAACAGUAGCCUUGGAGGAAUAUAUG
This is a long non-coding RNA of Humulus lupulus (European hop), 281 nucleotides long. RefSeq lists it as uncharacterized. The record is from RefSeq and is a predicted model, not a curated record. Lineage: Eukaryota; Viridiplantae; Streptophyta; Magnoliopsida; Rosales; Cannabaceae. The transcript has 3 exons.